AGCCCCGGGGUGUUACAUAUUAGAUUGCAAAUCUAAAGAGGCAGGCUAAAUACCUGCCGGGGCUU
RNAcentral lists this transfer RNA (65 nucleotides) under Myripristis berndti (blotcheye soldierfish). RNAcentral's name for it is "tRNA-Cys". It matches the Rfam family "tRNA". From Rfam's summary of the family: Transfer RNA (tRNA) molecules are approximately 80 nucleotides in length. Their secondary structure includes four short double-helical elements and three loops (D, anti-codon, and T loops). Lineage: Eukaryota; Metazoa; Chordata; Actinopteri; Holocentriformes; Holocentridae. RNAcentral also lists the same sequence under 11 other names. The record is from RNAcentral.